CGGCAUCAAUUGUCGCGACGCGGGUCGCGAUUCUCGGGAAGUGCGGGAAGUGGAUUUCUCGCGUUCAGGUAUCAAAUAAAGGGAAUGAUGGCACCGCGUAGGCUAUCUUCGUCUAGAUCGGCGCGGGAUGGGACAAGUGGUGUCCCCGAGCAUACUGAGACGAGCGGAGACUUGGAGCUUCGCGAGCAGUUGGCCACACUCGUGGGAGUGGUAAGGCAACAAGCGGAUGUAGUGCAACGUCAGCAGGACGCUGCUCUGCGCCAAGAAGAGCGGAUUAAGAGACUCCAGAAAACGGUGGAUCAGUUAGGGACCGCACUAGUUUCGGCUCGUCGUGUACGGCCAGGAGUCGCAGCGGAGGCAUUUCAGUCGGGGUCGAGCAAUCCGACUGCUGUUAGUUCAGAGAUGGAAGCGGAAAGGGAGCGAGCUUUGGCGGCUCUUAUGUCCUUCAAGAAGUUUGAUCCACCUACUUUCGAUGGAGAGGACAUAGAUCCAUGGACUGUGGAGUCGUGGAUUGACUCCAUAGAGACUAUUUUCGAGGAUUUGUACACAGUGGAGCGGGACAAGGUAUACUUAGCCGUGCAUUGUCUGCAACGGUCAGCGAAGGCGUGGUGGAAAGACAUCAAACGAAAUCGAUCGCCUAGUCUUCCUUCUAUGGUUUGGGAAGAGUUUCGGGAAUUAAUGCGUUUAACUUAUUUCCCCGAUAGUGAAAAGAGAAAGCUUCAGAACAGGUUUCAGAAACUACGACAAGGAGACCGUUCUGUGAGGGAAUACGAACGGGAAUUUUCCCGUAUCGUGAGCUCUGUUCCGAACGUGGUACAAGAUGACAAGGAUCGAGCUGAUUGUUUUGUACGAGGACUUUGGCCUGAUAUUUUCAAAGUGGUGCAUAAUCUUAAGUUGCAGACUUUUGCUGAAGUCUUGGAUCGGGCCCUGUGGAUAGAGCAAGGUAAUGCUUUUGUGCACGAAGAGCACGAGUCUCAUGAAUGUAAGCAAAGAGGAAUGAGGCUACUAUCUAAUAGUUCAGAUGAACAGUCAAGUUCUAGACGUCCCUCGACAUCGUCCUCUACCCGAUCAUCUCCAAGAUGUGUGAUUUGUGGUGGUUCCCACUGGGCACGACGUUGCGUGCAGCGGGAAGGAAAGUGCACUCGAUGUGGACAAUUGGAACACCCAGGUUAUGAGUGCUUGCAAAGUGAUAGUAUACUGGCGACAGCAUUUUCCUCUCCGGGACAACCUGCGGAUGUGCCACCCGCGGCAUGGUCUGGAGAGCGAUUGAGGAUAAGGCAACCGAGGGGUUCGCGACGGGCAGCAAGUGGCUGUGAAUAGGCGACCCAUGUGGUGGAACCUACUGCGACUGGUGGUAAUGUAGCAGGAUUGAGACCCUAACGUGAAAUUGGUCGCGUGUAAACCUAAUUGAAGGUAAAACAAACGCGUUGGCGAAGUCGGUUCGGCAAUCCGUCGAGCCUACGCAAAAAUAUCGCCAAAAGGACGUUUUCGGCAUCAAUUGUCGCGAGCGCGGGUCGCGGUUCUCGGGAAGUGCGGGAAGUGGAUUUCUCGCGUUCAGGUAUCAAAUAAAGGUUGCGCGCGAGCAGCGCGGCGGCACGAGGACAGGGCGUAGCUCCAUAGAUAGCGCCCCACCACUGAGACCGAGAUAGCAAUACCCUGAAGAGGUCAAGCUCAGCGUAUCAGUAUGAAUGAAACAAAAUUGUAGUAAAAGUCUAUAAGUUGUAAUAAUUUAAAGGCUUAUGUAAUAUUGUAAAAGUAAAAAUU
Ananas comosus (pineapple) is the source of this 1764-nucleotide RNA transcript. RefSeq lists it as uncharacterized. NCBI's taxonomy places the organism in Eukaryota, Viridiplantae, Streptophyta, Magnoliopsida, Poales, Bromeliaceae. The record is from RefSeq and is a predicted model, not a curated record. The transcript is spliced from 4 exons.